AUUGAACGCUAGCGGGAUGCUUUACACAUGCAAGUCGAACGGCAGCGCGGACUUCGGUCUGGCGGCGAGUGGCGAACGGGUGAGUAAUGUAUCGGAACGUGCCCAGUAGCGGGGGAUAACUACGCGAAAGCGUAGCUAAUACCGCAUACGCCCUACGGGGGCAACCAGGUGAUCGUAAGACCUUGCACUAUCGGAGCGGCCGAUAUCGGAUUAGCUAGUUGGUGAGGUAACGGCUCACCAAGGCGACGAUCCGUAGCUGGUUUGAGAGGACGACCAGCCACACUAGGACUGUGACACGGCCCAGACCCCUACGGGAGGCAGCAGUGGGGAAUGUUGGACAAUGGGGGCAACCCUGAUCCAGUCAUCCCGCGUGGGGGAUGAAGGCCUUCGGGUUGUGAAGCACUUUUGGCAGGAAAGAAACGUAGCGGGCUAAUACCCCGUGGAACUGACGGUACCUGCAGAAUAAGCACCGGCUAACUACGUG
Molecule: ribosomal RNA, 484 nt
Filed under: uncultured bacterium
Lineage: Bacteria
Description: partial 16S ribosomal RNA
Rfam family: Bacterial small subunit ribosomal RNA
Source: RNAcentral